AGAGUUUGAUCAUGGCUCAGGAUAAACGCUGGCGGCGUGCCUAACACAUGCAAGUCGAACGCGUGCAGCAAUGCACGAGUGGCGGACGGGUGAGGAACACGUGGGAAUCUACCCUUGGGUGAGGAAUACCGGCGAGAAAUCGCCGACAAAACCGCAUGAUCUGCGCAAGCAGCAAAGUCGCAAGACGCCGAAGGAUGAGC
Molecule: ribosomal RNA, 200 nt
Filed under: uncultured bacterium
Lineage: Bacteria
Description: partial 16S ribosomal RNA
Rfam family: Bacterial small subunit ribosomal RNA
Source: RNAcentral